AUCUCUAUUGAAGCAAGAAGACCCCCUGAAUUUAAGCAUAUAAUUAAGGGGAGGAAAAGAAACCAACUCGGAUUCCCCUAGUAAUGGCGAGUGAAGCGGGAAGAGCUCAUGUUGUAAAUCUCCAGCUUGCUGGCGAAUUGUAGUCUAAAGGUGCGUGCUCAGUCGUGGUCCCGGGCUAAGUCUGUUGGAAAACAGCAUCAUGGACGGUGACAAUCCGGUUCUUGCCUGGGGUCCCGCGGCGUACGAGCCGUUUCCGACGAGUCGUGUUGCUUGGGAUUGCAGCACUAAGUGGGUGGUAAAUUCCAUCUAAAGCUAAAUAUUGGUGGGAGACCGAUAGCGAACAAGUACCGUGAGGGAAAGAUGAAAAGACUUUUGAAAAGAGAGUAAAAUAGUACCUGAAACUGCUGAAAGGGAAGCGAUUGAAGUCAGUGUUGCUCCUGGUCUUUUUGCCGUCGCCCCCGUGGGGGUUGCGGCGUGGGGCCUGGAGCGUUUCAACAUGCGUUCUGUUCCGCGGGAAAUGUUCAGUGUGCUGGAACCUUCGGGGAAACGCACUGUUCUUGUCGUGGUUAGGACGGAGGACCUUUGCUCCUUUGACUGCGCGUUCCUCUCUCGGGUAUGCUGGUGUCUACUGCUUGCAGUUUUCAUUUUCAUGCUUGCGACUGUGCGUGUUAUUCAUGAGCGAACAUGAUGUUGAAGAAAUGGCUUUAAUUACCCCGUCUUGAAACACGGACCAAGGAGUCUAACAUACGUGCGAGUACUAUGGUGGCAAACCAUUGUGCGCAAUGAAAGUGAAGGCUGGCUUCCGUCAGCUGAGGUGGGAUCCGCAAGGAGCACCAUCGACCGACCAUGUCCCUUCGGGGUAAAGGUUUGAGUGUGAGCAUUUAUGUUGGGACCCGAAAGAUGGUGAACUAUGCCUGAAUAGGGCGAAGCCAGGGGAAACUCUGGUGGAGGCUCGUAGCGAUUCUGACGUGCAAAUCGAUCGUCAAAUUUGGGUAUAGGGGCGAAAGACUAAUCGAACCAUCUAGUAGCUGGUUCCCUCCGAAAUUUCCCUUAGGAUAGCUGCAACCGGUUAAGAGUUUUAUCAGGUAAAGCGAAUGAUUAGAGGAUUCGGGGACGGAAUGUCCUCGACCUAUUCUCAAACUUUAAAUGGGUAAGAACCCGGGGUUGCUUAAUUGAACCCUGCGGUCGAAUCUCGGUUGCUAGUGGGCCAGUCCGGGUAAGCUGGACUGGCGAUGCGGGAUGAUCCGAACGCUGAGUUAAAGUGCCUAACUGCUCGCUCACCUAGAUCCCACAAAAGGUGUUGGUUCAUCCAGACAGCAGGACGGUGGCCAUGGAAGUCGGAAUCCGCUAAGGAGUGUGUAACAACUCACCUGCCGAAUGAACUAGCCCUGAAAAUGGAUGGCGCUCAAGCGUGCUACCCAUACCUCGCCGCCGGGGUAGAAACGAUGCCCCGGCGAGUAGGCUGGCGUGGAGGCCCGUGACGAAGCCUAGGGAGUGAUCCCGGGUAGAACGGCCUCUAGUGCAGAUCUUGGUGGUAGUAGCAAAUACUCAAAUGAGAACUUUGAGGACUGAAGUGGGGAAAGGUUCCAUGUGAACAGCAGUUGGACAUGGGUUAGUCGAUCCUAAGGGGCAGGGAAACUCCGUUUUAACGUGCGCACUUGUGCGCCGCUCCCCGAAAGGGAAACCGGUUAACAUUCCGGUACCUGGAUGUGGAUUCUCCACGGCAACGUAACUGAAGGCGGAGACGUCGGCGGGGGCCCUGGGAAGAGUUCUCUUUUCUUCUUAACGGUCCAUCACCCUGAAAUCGGUUUGUCCGGAGCUAGGGUUUAACGGCCGGUAGAGCCCCGCACCUUUGCGGGGUCCGGUGCGCUCCCGACGACCCUUGAAAAUCCGCCGGAAGGAAUAGUUUUCACGCCAGGUCGUACUCAUAACCGCAGCAGGUCUCCAAGGUGAAAAGCCUCUAGUUGAUAGAACAAUGUAGGUAAGGGAAGUCGGCAAAAUAGAUCCGUAACCUCGGGAAAAGGAUUGGCUCUAAGGGUUGGGUGCGUUGGGCCUUGGGCAUAAGCCUCUGGAGCAGGUUGGCACUAGCCGGGCAACCGGCCGG
This 2104-nucleotide ribosomal RNA is filed under the name Heterosigma akashiwo. RNAcentral describes it as "partial Eukaryotic large subunit ribosomal RNA". It matches the Rfam family "Eukaryotic large subunit ribosomal RNA", at positions 1 to 2030 of the family's 3401-position model. The record is from RNAcentral. Lineage: Eukaryota; Raphidophyceae; Chattonellales; Chattonellaceae.